UACGGGGGGGGCAAGCGUUGUUCGGAAUUACUGGGCGUAAAGGGCUCGUAGGCGGCCAACUAAGUCAGACGUGAAAUCCCUCGGCUUAACCGGGGAACUGCGUCUGAUACUGGAUGGCUUGAGUUUGGGAGAGGGAUGCGGAAUUCCAGGUGUAGCGGUGAAAUGCGUAGAUAUCUGGAGGAACACCGGUGGCGAAGGCGCCAUCCUGGACCAGCACUGACGCUGAGUGAGCGAAAGCCAGGGGAGCAAACGGG
This 254-nucleotide ribosomal RNA is filed under the name uncultured bacterium. RNAcentral's name for it is "partial 16S ribosomal RNA". It matches the Rfam family "Bacterial small subunit ribosomal RNA", at positions 524 to 776 of the family's 1533-position model. The record is from RNAcentral.